AUUGAACGCUGGCGGCAGGCCUAACACAUGCAAGUCGAGCGGUAGAGAGGUGCUUGCAUCUCUUGAGAGCGGCGGACGGGUGAGUAAUGCCUAGGAAUCUGCCUAGUGGUGGGGGAUAACGUUCGGAAACGGACGCUAAUACCGCAUACGUCCUACGGGAGAAAGCGGGGGAUCUUCGGACCUCGCGCCAUUAGAUGAGCCUAGGUCGGAUUAGCUAGUUGGUGAGGUAAUGGCUCACCAAGGCGACGAUCCGUAACUGGUCUGAGAGGAUGAUCAGUCACACUGGAACUGAGACACGGUCCAGACUCCUACGGGAGGCAGCAGUGGGGAAUAUUGGACAAUGGGCGAAAGCCUGAUCCAGCCAUGCCGCGUGUGUGAAGAAGGUCUUCGGAUUGUAAAGCACUUUAAGUUGGGUAGGAAGGGCAGUUACCUAAUACGUGAUUGUUUGACGUUACCGACAGAAUAAGCACCGGCUAAC
Molecule: ribosomal RNA, 478 nt
Filed under: uncultured bacterium
Lineage: Bacteria
Description: bacterial SSU rRNA
Rfam family: Bacterial small subunit ribosomal RNA
Source: RNAcentral